UGUAUGCAAAUGUCAAUGGUUGGUAACGCCCAUAAUAUGAAUAUUCAUGAGCUUGACUGAUAUUAUUAUCCUCUAUUCCAGGCACCUUUCCAUUUUGUGUUCUUUGUGCAUUCUUAUCAGAAAUCCUACGUGCGGUAAAUAAGUCUCUGUAUCACCAUUCUCCUUCUUAUUUGUAUGCAGAUUUGGUUAUAAUGAUUGAUAACUGUAAUCAUCCUCAUUAUUUUAAUAAGAAAUUUUUCUAUCUGUGAUGGAAGUUUUUAUGUACGAUUGCCUGAUCUGAAGACAAGACUUUCGCUGCAUGCAUAUUUAAUGUAUGACGUCACCCACACAGAGUGAGAGCUCGAAGUUUUCUUUGAAAGUUUGAUGGAAAAUGUACAGAGACACUUGUCGCAGUUAAUGCAUGCAGUACCAAAUGCUUGCUUUCUUGGAGUAUGUGCUUGAAACAAGAAUGUCCUGGAGAAAACAGACCACCACAAGAGAAGACAUACAUGUACAGUAUGGACUAUGAAGUUCUACUUAGCCUCUUCAAUGAACUGCUGGAGCUGCGACUGGGUAUCAAAACCUUGGUAUUAUAAACUUCAUAACCAGUGGCGGAGAUAUGUUGUUAGCCAGGGGGGAGGGGUCAGUGCCCCCCCCCCCCCCCCACUUUUUCAAGUACCCCCAGUAUGCCCCUUUUAUGGCCUUUUCACAUAGGUAAAGUGCCAUAUUACUUUGACAAGUUCCCUUAUUAAUUUGUA
This is a long non-coding RNA of Strongylocentrotus purpuratus (purple sea urchin), 737 nucleotides long. RefSeq lists it as uncharacterized. The record is from RefSeq and is a predicted model, not a curated record. NCBI's taxonomy places the organism in Eukaryota, Metazoa, Echinodermata, Echinoidea, Camarodonta, Strongylocentrotidae. The transcript has 3 exons.